AGUGAACGCUGGCGGUAGGCCUAACACAUGCAAGUCGAACGGCAGCACAGUAUGAGCUUGCUCUUACGGGUGGCGAGUGGCGGACUGGUGAGGAAUACAUCGGAAUCUACUUUUUCGUGGGGGAUAACGUAUGGAAACUUACGCUAAUACCGCAUACGACCUACGGGUGAAAGCAGGGGAUCUUCGGACCUUGCGCGAUUGAAUGAGCCGAUGUCGGAUUAGCUAGUUGGCGGGGUAAAGGCCCACCAAGGCGACGAUCCGUAGCUGGUCUGAGAGGAUGAUCAGCCACACUGGAACUGAGACACGGUCCAGACUCCUACGGGAGGCAGCAGUGGGGAAUAUUGGACAAUGGGCGCAAGCCUGAUCCAGCCAUACCGCGUGGGUGAAGAAGGCCUUCGGGUUGUAAAGCCCUUUUGUUGGGAAAGAAAAGCAGCAGGUUAAUACCCCGCUGUUAUGACGGUACCCAAAGAAUAAGCACCGGCUAACUUCGUG
Molecule: ribosomal RNA, 492 nt
Filed under: uncultured bacterium
Lineage: Bacteria
Description: partial 16S ribosomal RNA
Rfam family: Bacterial small subunit ribosomal RNA
Source: RNAcentral